This 168-nucleotide ribosomal RNA is filed under the name Miichthys miiuy (Mi-iuy croaker). RNAcentral describes it as "partial small subunit ribosomal RNA". The record is from RNAcentral. Lineage: Eukaryota; Metazoa; Chordata; Actinopteri; Sciaenidae.
CGCCGCGGUUAUACGAGAGGCCCAAGUUGACAGUCUACGGCGUAAAGAGUGGUUAGAAAGAGCCCGUUACUAAAGCCGAACGCCUUCAAAGCUGUUAUACGCAUCCGAAGGUGAGAAGCCCGUCCACGAAAGUGGCUUUACAACCUUGAACCCACGAAAGCUACGACA